AGCGAACGCUGGCGGCAUGCCUAACACAUGCAAGUCGAACGAGACCUUCGGGUCUAGUGGCGCACGGGUGCGUAACGCGUGGGAACCUGCCCUUAGGUUCGGAAUAACUCCCCGAAAGGGGUGCUAAUACCGGAUAAUGUCUUCGGACCAAGAUUUAUCGCCUUUGGAUGGGCCCGCGUUGGAUUAGCUAGUUGGUAGGGUAAAAGCCUACCAAGGCGACGAUCCAUAGCUGGUCUGAGAGGAUGAUCAGCCACACUGGGACUGAGACACGGCCCAGACUCCUACGGGAGGCAGCAGUGGGGAAUAUUGGACAAUGGGCGAAAGCCUGAUCCAGCAAUGCCGCGUGAGUGAUGAAGGCCUUAGGGUUGUAAAGCUCUUUUACCCGGGAUGAUAAUGACAGUACCGGGAGAAUAAGCUCCGGCUAACUCCGUG
Molecule: ribosomal RNA, 432 nt
Filed under: uncultured bacterium
Lineage: Bacteria
Description: partial 16S ribosomal RNA
Rfam family: Bacterial small subunit ribosomal RNA
Source: RNAcentral